CAGUGUUCCAGCCGUUUUCUGUUCUACGAUAAGAUCCUCACUGAGUGAGUGAAAGAAAGAGAAAGAGAGGGUGUGCAUUGAUGGAGGUAGAGAGAGUCUCAUUUGUGUUGAGAUGUAGUUAGUGUGUGUGAGAGAGAGAGAGAGAGAGAGUGUGAGAGAGAGAGAGAGAGAGAGUGUGAGAGAGAGUGGAGAGAGAGAGAGAGAGAAAGGUAGAGAGAGUCUUAUUUGUGUUGAGAUGUAGUUAGUGUGUGUGUGAGAGAGAGAGAGAGAAGAAGAAAGAAAGAAAGAAAGAAAGGUAGAGAGAGUCUUAUUUGUGCUGAGAUGUAGAAGAGUGUGAGGUCCAGACCAUCUGUGUUACAUCAAACCAUUCAGUGAUCCCUUUGCUCUGUGGAUGGGGCGGAGUCACCCUGCACGAGACCACGCCCACCAGAAUAGAAAGGUUUCAUCA
Long non-coding RNA from Ictalurus punctatus (channel catfish), 448 nucleotides. The record is from Ensembl. Lineage: Eukaryota; Metazoa; Chordata; Actinopteri; Siluriformes; Ictaluridae.